RNAcentral lists this ribosomal RNA (447 nucleotides) under Disonycha xanthomelas. RNAcentral describes it as "partial 16S ribosomal RNA". The record is from RNAcentral. Lineage: Eukaryota; Metazoa; Arthropoda; Insecta; Coleoptera; Chrysomelidae.
UCUUUUUGUUUAAAAUUUAAGGUCUGGCCUGCUCAAUGAAAUAUUAAAUAGCCGCAGUAUUUUGACUGUGCUAAGGUAGCAUAAUCAUUAGUUUUUUAAUUGAAAACUGGUAUGAAUGGUUGGAUGAGAAAAUAGCUGUCUCUAAUUAAGUAAUUAAAACUUUAUUUUUAAGUUCAAAAGCUUAAAUAAUAUUUAAAGACGAGAAGACCCUAUAGAAUUUUAUAUAAAAAUUAGAUUUAUUUUUUAGAAUUUAGCUUUAGAUUUAAUAUUAUAUUUGAUUGGGGUGAUUAAAAAAUUUAAUUAACUUUUUUUUAUUUUAAUAUAAAUUAAUAAAUGUAUGAUCCAAAAAUUUUGAUUAUAAGAUAAAUUACCUUAGGGAUAACAGCGUAAUUUUAUUAGAGAGUUCUUAUUGAUAAUAAAGUUUGCGACCUCGAUGUUGGAUUAAAA